This 1246-nucleotide ribosomal RNA is filed under the name Hippopus hippopus. RNAcentral's name for it is "16S ribosomal RNA". It matches the Rfam family "Bacterial large subunit ribosomal RNA", at positions 552 to 2833 of the family's 2925-position model. Lineage: Eukaryota; Metazoa; Mollusca; Bivalvia; Cardiida; Cardiidae. The record is from RNAcentral.
GAAAUCCCAAACCGUUAGGGAGUCACAAAUAACCUAUUAUAAGAAAGUGAAAUUACUGUACCUUUUGUAUCACGGUCUGUAGAGAUUCAAACCAUAGCGGUUUUUCCCGAAAGUUUAGGAUCUACUUAAGAUGAAAUGUGGUCUGUUACAUAAUACCUUCUAAGCAUUGAAGUAGUGGCGAUAUACCAAUCGCAUUAACUGAUAGCUGGUUGUUACGAAAACAUACUUCAGUAUGGAGGGACUAGAAAGGCUAUUUCGCUGAUUAUAAAGAAAUUAGCUAAAUAGUUUUAUUCAGGUUGUAGGGGACAAGCUCUGCAACAACUAAUUAUAAAUGUGAUCAACUAAGUAGGGUUAGUAGUGCCCAUCCCUCAAGUUUUGUUCAAAAUAGUUAUCAUAACAAGAUUAAUAGUAUAAUACGUAGCUCAUACAAUUAACUUUAAUGUGUGAACUAGUAUAGAAUGAGUAGUUAAGCUGGUGAUUUUAGGUUGUUUGAUCUUAUUUACUUUUUAAUUUGGUAUGAUUACAAAAAGGUUUUUUUAAGGAACUCGGCAAAAAUUUUCUGCGCCUGUUUAACAAAAACAUCUCUUCCUGAAGUAUACUGGAAGUAGGCCCUGCCCGGUGCCCUGCGGGGUUAACGGCGGUGUUAAACCUUAAAGUAGCGUGAUAGAUUGGCCUUUAAUUGGGGUCUGGUAUGAAUGGGUUGACGUCGGAAAUGCUGUCUCAAAAAAAUAUAAUGAAAUUUACUUUUCAGUGAAAAGGCUGAAAUUUGAGUAAAAGACGAGAAGACCCUAUCGAGCUUGAGGGAUUCUAAUGUUGUAAAACCGUUAGAAGGAGUUUGGCUGGGGCAGCAACGGAGGUAACCUCCGUUUUUAAGUCGAAGAUCCAUUAGAUUGGUUAAUGAUAAGAGGAAAAAGUUACCGUAGGGAUAACAGCACCAGACCGCCUCAGAGGCCGUAUCGAAGGCGGAAGGUGUGACCUCGAUGUUGGAUCAGGGUGAACCGCAUGGUGCAGGAGCUAUGCAGGUGGGACUGUUCUUCCUUUAAUCCCCUACAUGAUCUGAGUUAAAACCGGCGUGAGCUAGGUUGGUUUCUAUCUUUAAAUUAAGCUGUCUCUCGUACGAAAGGAUCGAGAUGGCUUGCUUGUAUUAGUUUUAUUCUUAUAGCAAUCUGCACGCUAAAUUAGAAAGCAAGGACUCAUGGUAUUUGCAGUAGUUGGUUGAGUUACUUUUUUUUCUAUAUUAAUUAGA